RNAcentral lists this long non-coding RNA (1486 nucleotides) under Cricetulus griseus (Chinese hamster). RNAcentral's name for it is "lncRNA (ENSCGRG00015029138.1)". Lineage: Eukaryota; Metazoa; Chordata; Mammalia; Rodentia; Cricetidae. The record is from RNAcentral.
GCAGGAGUAUCGCCCAAAGUCAAACCAGGCUAUAUAGUGAGACUGUCUCAGAGGCACCCAAAACAACAACCAACAAGUGCCCCGUGCAGCCCGGCUCUUGGCGGCAGCUGCUUCACCUAACCAGUGCCUUUGUGUCAGGGACGGAACUUGCUCAUCUAUGUCCACCUCUCUGCCUUUCCCAGCUGACAGCAGCAGGCCCUGAGGACCAACCCCCCAACCCCACUCCCUCCAGGCCCUGCCUGUUAACAGAAGAACUUCUAAAGUGCUCUAACAAUGGAUGGAGCUCCCUGGGAAGGAAGUGGGUUCACAGGCACGGACAGCAAUCAAGAGGUGAAGGGAACAACUAUAUGUGCUUGGUGACUGACUGGACGCAAUGUUGAGUCUUCAGCCUGGGACUGUGGUCCUUUCCCCAAGACUGGGACCUGUAAGAAGGUGGAGGCCUGAAAGGAAGACACAGUCCCCACCCCUCUCUACCACACAAAGCCUCCCACACUGUACAGCCAGGCAGUAAAUGCUGGCGGAGGGACAGAGAGGUUCCCUUUGGCUCCAUAUGCCCGCCCCCCAUUCAUGGUGCUCUCUGGGGUAGAGGUCAUGCUCUGCUCUGUCCUGGCAGUGGCUCUGGAGGAGGAGGUUCCGGUUUUGAGUGCUUGGCCUCAGCAGUCCACCCUUCGUGGAGGUUAGCUCCAUGUCUGGAUUUGGUGGAGGAGCUGGUUUGUCAUCGCUGACCAGGGAGAGUGAAGGGUGAGGUGUGGAGAUACCUUGUUUAUACUCUAACAAAGCUUGCCUGAAGAUCAGAGGAGCACAGCAGCCAGCCACUAGAGCUCGUACCUCUACGAAAUCCUCAGACUGAAGAGAGUGAGCUCCUGUCUCCUCCUGCCUCAUAUUACUCUCUCCGCCCAGCCAUCCCACUUCCUGUCUGUACAGACCUCCGGACAUCUAUGGUUAACUAGUGGCCAGCACCAAGCACCAGGACCACACGCUUUAUAAUGGCAGUUCCACACUAUGACACCCUCCAGAGCCACGUGGCCCUUGAUAAAUCCUAGACUGUGCUCAGGAGGACUUGUGUGGUUCCUGAAACUGUCUUUUUAACAACUGAGAUGAGGGAGCCGUUAGCUGGAAGUGGGGCUUUGGGAGGUCUCCUGAAGUCCUCUCUGCAACCUGUGCAUCAGAGAAACUGGCCACUGGUGAGUGACCUUUUCAGGAACCCUGGGCUAUGAACACUGACCUUGUGUUAGCCUGUCCUGAUUGAGCUGCAUCGAGAAACUGUCACUGCCCCCAUGGCUAUGGAAAGAGUCCAUGCCGGGUGUCCAUCACGUGAGCUCUUACCACUAAUAGCUCAGAGGAAACCAGACAGCACUCUGUGGUGGCCUCAAACUGCAGCUAUUUUCUUGGUUCCAACAUUUCCUUUGCCCAAGAGCAUCACAGGCCUGAAGUGUUUGCUGUCACCUGGAAAAGGAGGCUACCAGGUGCCAAUGAAGAUGCAAUG